GACGUGGGGGGCCAGCGUUGCUCGGAAUUACUGGGUGUAAAGGGUUCGUAGGCGGUGUAGCAAGUCGGGAGUGAAAUCUCUGGGCUCAACCCAGAGACUGCUUCCGAAACUGCUGUGCUUGAGUGUGGGAGAGGCGCGUGGAAUUGCAGGUGUAGCGGUGAAAUGCGUAGAUAUCUGAAGGAACACCAGUGGCGAAAGCGGCUUCCUGGUCCAGUACCGACGUUCAGGCACGAAAGCGUGGGGAGCAAACAG
Molecule: ribosomal RNA, 252 nt
Filed under: uncultured bacterium
Lineage: Bacteria
Description: partial 16S ribosomal RNA
Rfam family: Bacterial small subunit ribosomal RNA
Source: RNAcentral